Molecule: ribosomal RNA, 1394 nt
Filed under: Microbacterium trichothecenolyticum
Lineage: Bacteria; Bacillati; Actinomycetota; Actinomycetes; Micrococcales; Microbacteriaceae
Description: 16S ribosomal RNA
Rfam family: Bacterial small subunit ribosomal RNA
Source: RNAcentral
AGUCGAACGGUGAAGCCAAGCUUGCUUGGUGGAUCAGUGGCGAACGGGUGAGUAACACGUGAGCAACCUGCCCUGGACUCUGGGAUAAGCGCUGGAAACGGCGUCUAAUACUGGAUAUGAGCUCUCAUCGCAUGGUGGGGGUUGGAAAGAUUUUUCGGUCUGGGAUGGGCUCGCGGCCUAUCAGCUUGUUGGUGAGGUAAUGGCUCACCAAGGCGUCGACGGGUAGCCGGCCUGAGAGGGUGACCGGCCACACUGGGACUGAGACACGGCCCAGACUCCUACGGGAGGCAGCAGUGGGGAAUAUUGCACAAUGGGCGGAAGCCUGAUGCAGCAACGCCGCGUGAGGGAUGACGGCCUUCGGGUUGUAAACCUCUUUUAGCAGGGAAGAAGCGAGAGUGACGGUACCUGCAGAAAAAGCGCCGGCUAACUACGUGCCAGCAGCCGCGGUAAUACGUAGGGCGCAAGCGUUAUCCGGAAUUAUUGGGCGUAAAGAGCUCGUAGGCGGUUUGUCGCGUCUGCUGUGAAAUCCCGAGGCUCAACCUCGGGCCUGCAGUGGGUACGGGCAGACUAGAGUGCGGUAGGGGAGAUUGGAAUUCCUGGUGUAGCGGUGGAAUGCGCAGAUAUCAGGAGGAACACCGAUGGCGAAGGCAGAUCUCUGGGCCGUAACUGACGCUGAGGAGCGAAAGGGUGGGGAGCAAACAGGCUUAGAUACCCUGGUAGUCCACCCCGUAAACGUUGGGAACUAGUUGUGGGGACCAUUCCACGGUUUCCGUGACGCAGCUAACGCAUUAAGUUCCCCGCCUGGGGAGUACGGCCGCAAGGCUAAAACUCAAAGGAAUUGACGGGGACCCGCACAAGCGGCGGAGCAUGCGGAUUAAUUCGAUGCAACGCGAAGAACCUUACCAAGGCUUGACAUACACCAGAACACCGUAGAAAUACGGGACUCUUUGGACACUGGUGAACAGGUGGUGCAUGGUUGUCGUCAGCUCGUGUCGUGAGAUGUUGGGUUAAGUCCCGCAACGAGCGCAACCCUCGUUCUAUGUUGCCAGCACGUAAUGGUGGGAACUCAUGGGAUACUGCCGGGGUCAACUCGGAGGAAGGUGGGGAUGACGUCAAAUCAUCAUGCCCCUUAUGUCUUGGGCUUCACGCAUGCUACAAUGGCCGGUACAAAGGGCUGCAAUACCGUGAGGUGGAGCGAAUCCCAAAAAGCCGGUCCCAGUUCGGAUUGAGGUCUGCAACUCGACCUCAUGAAGUCGGAGUCGCUAGUAAUCGCAGAUCAGCAACGCUGCGGUGAAUACGUUCCCGGGUCUUGUACACACCGCCCGUCAAGUCAUGAAAGUCGGUAACACCUGAAGCCGGUGGCCCAACCCUUGUGGAGGGAGCCGUCGAAGGUG